AGGGAAUCUUCGGCAAUGGACGAAAGUCUGACCGAGCAACGCCGCGUGAGUGAAGAAGGUUUUCGGAUCGUAAAGCUCUGUUGUAAGAGAAGAACGGGUGUGAGAGUGGAAAGUUCACACUGUGACGGUAUCUUACCAGAAAGGGACGGCUAACUACGUGCCAGCAGCCGCGGUAAUACGUAGGUCCCGAGCGUUGUCCGGAUUUAUUGGGCGUAAAGCGAGCGCAGGCGGUUAGAUAAGUCUGAAGUUAAAGGCUGUGGCUUAACCAUAGUACGCUUUGGAAACUGUUUAACUUGAGUGCAGAAGGGGGGAGUGGAAUUCCAUGUGUAGCGGUGAAAUGCGUAGAUAUAUGGAGGAACACCGGUGGCGAAAGCGGCUCUCUGGUCUGUAACUGACGCUGAGGCUCGAAAGCGUGGGGAGCGAACAGGAUUAGAUACCCUGGUAGUCCACGCCGUAAACGAUGAGUGCUAGGUGUUAGGCCCUUUCCGGGGCUUAGUGCCGCAGCUAACGCAUUAAGCACUCCGCCUGGGGAGUACGACCGCAAGGUUG
RNAcentral lists this ribosomal RNA (549 nucleotides) under uncultured bacterium. Its description in RNAcentral is "bacterial SSU rRNA". It matches the Rfam family "Bacterial small subunit ribosomal RNA", at positions 356 to 896 of the family's 1533-position model. The record is from RNAcentral.